GACGAACGCUGGCGGCGUGCUUAACACAUGCAAGUCGAACGGAAAGGCCCUGCUUUUGUGGGGUGCUCGAGUGGCGAACGGGUGAGUAACACGUGAGUAACCUACCCUUGACUUUGGGAUAACUUCAGGAAACUGGGGCUAAUACCGGAUAGGAGCUCCUGCUGCAUGGUGGGGGUUGGAAAGUUUCGGCGGUUGGGGAUGUACUCGCGGCUUAUCAGCUUGUUGGUGGGGUAGUGGCUUACCAAGGCUUUGACGGGUAGCCGGCCUGAGAGGGUGACCGGCCACAUUGGGACUGAGACACGGCCCAGACUCCUACGGGAGGCAGCAGUGGGGAAUAUGGAAAAAUGGGAGGAAGCCUGAUGCAGCAACGCCGCGUGCGGGAUGACGGCCUUCGGGUUGUAAACCGCUUGCGCCUGUGACGAAGCGUGAGUGACGGUAAUGGGUAAAGAAGCACCGGCUAACUACGUG
Molecule: ribosomal RNA, 468 nt
Filed under: uncultured bacterium
Lineage: Bacteria
Description: partial 16S ribosomal RNA
Rfam family: Bacterial small subunit ribosomal RNA
Source: RNAcentral